UAAGGAAUAUUGGUCAAUGGACGCAAGUCUGAACCAGCCAUGCCGCGUGAAGGAUGAAGGUCCUCUGGAUUGUAAACUUCUUUUAUAGGGGACGAAAUCUAUUUUUCUAAGUAGUCUGACGGUACCCUAGGAAUAAGCACCGGCUAACUCCGUGCCAGCAGCCGCGGUAAUACGGAGGGUGCAAGCGUUAUCCGGAUUCACUGGGUUUAAAGGGUGCGUAGGCGGGCAGGUAAGUCAGUGGUGAAAUCUCCGAGCUUAACUUGGAAACUGCCAUUGAUACUAUCUGUCUUGAAUAUUGUGGAGGUGAGCGGAAUAUGUCAUGUAGCGGUGAAAUGCUUAGAUAUGACAUAGAACACCAAUUGCGAAGGCAGCUCGCUACACAAAUAUUGACGCUGAGGCACGAAAGCGUGGGGAUCAAACA
RNAcentral lists this ribosomal RNA (421 nucleotides) under uncultured Flavisolibacter sp. RNAcentral describes it as "bacterial SSU rRNA". It matches the Rfam family "Bacterial small subunit ribosomal RNA", at positions 355 to 774 of the family's 1533-position model. The record is from RNAcentral. Lineage: Bacteria; Pseudomonadati; Bacteroidota; Chitinophagia; Chitinophagales; Chitinophagaceae.